GGGAUGGACAUACCUCUGGUGUACCAGUUGUCGUGCCAACGGCAUAGCUGGGUAGCUAUGUAUGGACGGGAUAAGUGCUGAAAGCAUCUAAGCAUGAAGCCCCCCUCAAGAUGAGAUUUCCCAACUUCGGUUAUAAGAUCCCUCGAAGAUGACGAGGUUAAUAGGUUCGAGGUGGAAGCGUGGUGACACGUGGAGCUGACGAAUACUAAUCGAUCGAAGACUUAAUCAA
This 229-nucleotide ribosomal RNA is filed under the name Staphylococcus epidermidis NIHLM095. RNAcentral's name for it is "partial 23S ribosomal RNA". It matches the Rfam family "Bacterial large subunit ribosomal RNA", at positions 2694 to 2925 of the family's 2925-position model. Lineage: Bacteria; Bacillati; Bacillota; Bacilli; Caryophanales; Staphylococcaceae. RNAcentral also lists the same sequence under 1 other name. The record is from RNAcentral.